CUCUCUGUCUUUAAGGAUAUUCUCUCAAGUGUUACACGUGCGUGCCUGAUUGGACGGGUUCCUGUAAAUUAAAAGAGGAGACAUGUCCAGUUGGAUGUUCUGCAUGUUCAACAUGUACAGCGAGUCUAUCAUAUGCAGGUUCCAGUAAAAUGAACUUCACAAUUAAAGGGUGUGCAAGUCAAUGUGAAAGUGCGACUGCAGAGACGCCAGAUGGUCUGAAAGUGUCUCUCCGCUGCUGUAAGAGUGACCUUUGCAAUGCAGCAGAUGGAGUGUAUAAGGGAAGCUUCCUCCUGCUCUUCUCUCCUCUGCCCUUCUACUUCCUGUUUCAGUGAGUCCAGAUUCUGCACUUCAGAUUCUACAGUGAAGACCAGCGCAAAAACACAUUCUUUCAUACACAGAAAAUGAGAUACUUUGUGAAAGUAUAAGAUUGCAUAAGAGCGUAUAAACACAUCAAUAAAUCAUGAAAAUGUGAUUGUGGUUGUUCAACUAAUACGUUAACCAAUCAAAUGUCUGAAAUUCUUAGAAGCAAUAUGACUGUAUGUCAUGAUUUUUCUGUUUUGGUUUUGGUCUUUUAUUUUUCUUUCUCUUUGUUUCUUGUCUGCUGAGUUUGUAAAUGAUUCAUUUCCAUUGUAAAAAUCAUUAGUUAUUGAAUCAAAAACUUACUUUAGCUGUACAAUAACUUUUUAUAUAUAUAUAGCUGCUGUACAGCUAAAACAAUCUCUGUUUCAGUAAUUUCUUAUUAUCACUGUAAAGCUGCUUUGAAACAAUCUGUAUUGUAAAAAGCGCUUUAUAAAUGAAGGUGACUAAACUUCUUUUGUUCCCCCUG
Ctenopharyngodon idella (grass carp) is the source of this 826-nucleotide long non-coding RNA. RefSeq lists it as uncharacterized. The record is from RefSeq and is a predicted model, not a curated record. Lineage: Eukaryota; Metazoa; Chordata; Actinopteri; Cypriniformes; Xenocyprididae. The transcript is spliced from 3 exons.